UACCUGUGAAGAUGCAGGUUACCCGCGACUGGACAGAAAGACCCCAUGGAGCUUUACUGUAACCUGAGAUUGGAUUCCGGUAAGAGAUGUACAGGAUAGUUGGGAGGCUGAGAAACGGGUACGCCAGUAUCCGCAGAGCCGCUGGUGGGAUACCAACCUUGUUUUAUUGGGAUUCUAACGAGAGACGUAACGAGUCUUUGGACAGUCUCAGGCGGGCAGUUUGACUGGGGCGGUCGCCUCCGAAAGA
Molecule: ribosomal RNA, 247 nt
Filed under: Megasphaera stantonii
Lineage: Bacteria; Bacillati; Bacillota; Negativicutes; Veillonellales; Veillonellaceae
Description: partial 23S ribosomal RNA
Rfam family: Bacterial large subunit ribosomal RNA
Source: RNAcentral